This 75-nucleotide transfer RNA is filed under the name Amazona aestiva (blue-fronted amazon). It matches the Rfam family "tRNA". Rfam says of the family: Transfer RNA (tRNA) molecules are approximately 80 nucleotides in length. Their secondary structure includes four short double-helical elements and three loops (D, anti-codon, and T loops). Further hydrogen bonds mediate the characteristic L-shaped molecular structure. tRNAs have two regions of fundamental functional importance: the anti-codon, which is responsible for specific mRNA codon recognition, and the 3' end, to which the tRNAs corresponding amino acid is attached (by aminoacyl-tRNA synthetases). tRNAs cope with the degeneracy of the genetic code in two manners: having more than one tRNA (with a specific anti-codon) for a particular amino acid; and 'wobble' base-pairing, i.e. permitting non-standard base-pairing at the 3rd anti-codon position. RNAcentral also lists the same sequence under 1 other name. Lineage: Eukaryota; Metazoa; Chordata; Aves; Psittaciformes; Psittacidae. The record is from Rfam by way of RNAcentral.
GCUAGUGUAGCAGAGCCCAGCAAAUACAAACGACUUAAACCCUUUAUCCCAGAGGUUCAAAUCCUCUCUCUAGCU